Molecule: long non-coding RNA, 1023 nt
Organism: Gopherus flavomarginatus (Mexican gopher tortoise)
Lineage: Eukaryota; Metazoa; Chordata; Testudines; Testudinidae
Exons: 5
Source: RefSeq, a predicted model, not a curated record
UGGGGAGAGGUUUUCUCUUCUGUGGAAUUUUUGGUUUUAAAUGGUGGAAAGGGAUCUUCUUUUCCUGUAGGACAGUCAAUGGAUUAAGACUUUAAAGCACAGCUGAAACUUCCACAAUCUUGGAGGAUAUAUAGUACAUGUUUUGAGGUCCAGAGCCUGCAAUGCAGACAAAGCUGAUGGGAGACUUUAUCGUUGAGUCAUCUUUAUUUCUAGAGGGUAAUAUUUCUGAAGAAGGACUGCAAUCAAUUUCUCAUUUGAAGAAGAACAAUGAAAUGGUUUGUAUGAAGUUGCUCGGUGUAGGACUAGUACAUCAUGGAAAUUCAGCUUUGUGGAAAUAUCCAUCAAUACCAGAUGGACUUUUGUGGGAUGUUAAAGAGGACAAAACGUGUUGGUUAUUCUGCCCUCCCCCUACCCGUGAAGAUGAGUCAUGCAAGUGGAUUCCUCCUAUCAACUGAGUUUUUGCAGAUCAGACCAGGAGGGAGGAGAAUUAAAAACCCCUAACAAGAUGACACUGUAUAUCUAUGCUGCUUGGACUCAGGAGGCAAGGUUUACUGUCCAUAAGCAAGAGAUCCUUUGCUUGGGUUAGCCCUAAAGGUCAUAUGGAGCUUGCUUAUUAAAGAAGCUUCUAUUUUUAAAACUUUAGAUUGUAACUCAUUUGUGCAUAUAUAUUUACCAACUUUAACUUUGUAAAUAACUCUCUAAUUUCCUUUUCUGAUUUAAUAAAUCUUUAUAUAGUUUAUCACAGGCUUGGUUACAAGCUUUGUUGUUGGUGUAAAAUCUAACGUGCAAUUGACCUGGGGUAAGUGCCUUGUUCUUUGGAACUGGGAGUAAACUGAAUAUUGCUGUAAUUCUUGGUGUAAGGGACUAUCACAAAGGUAUGCUCAUUUGGGUGACAAGAUAGAUUGGACUUCAUCUUUAGGCUGUUAUAGUACCUGAGGAGUUUACACUUGAUAAUUGGUUGCUGAAAUCUAAGUAUAGAACUCACAACCAAUUUGGGGUUAGUGGUCUACAUCCUAGCAGUCC